This 766-nucleotide long non-coding RNA is filed under the name Callithrix jacchus (white-tufted-ear marmoset). Its description in RNAcentral is "lncRNA (ENSCJAG00000058714.2)". The record is from RNAcentral. Lineage: Eukaryota; Metazoa; Chordata; Mammalia; Primates; Cebidae.
CUUGAGUUGGCUGCUCUGAGUAUAGGGAGCUACAUUUAAUUUAUUUUAUUUCGACCACCUCUUAGGUUUUUCAUCCUUCAUUUCUUCUGUUUCUGGUUCUUUUUAUGGUUCUUUUAAAAGAUAAAUGUGUUUUGUUAUCCUUAAUGUUUCCUUUCUUUCUUUUGUCUUUAUCUGCAUUUAAAUGCUUUCUGCCUUCUGGUUUCUAUUUGUAGUAGUAUGUUCUUCUGUUUUUUUAGUAGAUUUUGCUCUCAGUCUACAGUCAUCUGCUUUAUGCCAUCUAGAAUAUCCUCACUCUCUUAGUUUGCUGGUGAUUAUUGUGUAUUUCUCAUGCCUUUGAAUUGAAAAUAUAUUUAUUGUGUAAUUUCCUAUGGAUUUAAGGAGGGGAAUAUAUUUUUCUGGAAUUCUCUUUCUUUCUGAUAUGCUUUCUCCCUUUUUCUUUAUCAUCAAUGACUUACUCUACCUGCCAUUUAUCUUCACCUAUGAUUUAGAAGGAAAUUAUAACAUCGACCUGAUAGGAUUGCCAAGAAGAUUAACUGACAUAUUAUAUGCAAAGCACUUAGAACAAUGCCUGGCACAUGAGUAACUCUGAUGUGUAUGAUUACAAUUUAAUGGGAUUUGAAAAGAAUAACGAGAUGAGAACCAGAAAUGAUGAGUACCAUUACAUCAAUAGAAGAUGCUGAAUUUUUUUUACCAGCUGAUCAAUAAAUGCAUUAAAUGAAUACAAUCAGUAAUUUUAUUUACCCCAUUUUUAUAAGAAAAAAAUUAC